UACGGGGGGGGCAAGCGUUGUUCGGAAUUACUGGGCGUAAAGGGCUCGUAGGCGGCCAACUAAGUCGGACGUGAAAUCCCCAGGCUCAACCUGGGAACUGCGUCCGAUACUGGAUGGCUUGAAUUCGGGAGAGGGAUGCAGAAUUCCAGGUGUAGCGGUGAAAUGCGUAGAUAUCUGGAGGAAUACCGGUGGCGAAGGCGGCGUCCUGGACCGACAUUGACGCUGAUGAGCGAAAGCUAGGGGAGCAAACGGG
Molecule: ribosomal RNA, 253 nt
Filed under: uncultured bacterium
Lineage: Bacteria
Description: partial 16S ribosomal RNA
Rfam family: Bacterial small subunit ribosomal RNA
Source: RNAcentral